Molecule: long non-coding RNA, 2011 nt
Organism: Herpailurus yagouaroundi (jaguarundi)
Lineage: Eukaryota; Metazoa; Chordata; Mammalia; Carnivora; Felidae
Exons: 2
Source: RefSeq, a predicted model, not a curated record
UUGGAUUCUGUCUCCCUCGCUCUCUGCCCCUCCCCCACUCGCGCUGUCUCUCAAAAAUAAACAUUGAAAAAUUAAAAACAAAAAAACAGUACACUUAAAAUGCUCCGAACAGUGCCAAGGAUAUAGUAAGCACUUAGUGAACGUAGUAAAUGGUAACUAUUGUGAGAGUUUUCCUCACUGCCACCCUCUUAGCUCUAAAUUCAGCUUCUCUUGCUGUCUACCUGUUGUUCCCACCUUGCUUUUUGCUCUGCACUGAAAAUUGCUUUUCAUGUUGAUGGCUUCGCUGCCUCAGUUACUUAACAUACAAGACAGAGGGCCUGCCAUGUGCUGGGGAUCCAGGAGAAUUGUGACAAAGUCCCAGCCCUCAUUGAAGGCGCAGGCCUUCCCUAACCUGUUUUGCCCGUUCUCUGCCAUCGGGCCGAGAGCAGACUCCGGGAGCAUGGUGGCUGAAGAUGCCGGGCCUGACGAAGAUACCUUUCAACAGAAAGACCGUGGAGGGGACUUUGAAUCUAGAGUGCUCAAACUCCAAGGAAGACGUGUGUCCUCCAAGGGCUCACUGUUGGAGCGGACCUGACCUUUCCCUCUGCAGACUGCCUGUUUGUUCGUUCUCUUUUCGAAGCUAGCACUUACGGAGCGUGCUUAGCACUUUAUGUGGUUUAUAUAACUAAUCUUGACGAAUAAUCUCCUCGGUUUGCAGGCAAGGAAAAAAAUGAGGCACAGCAGUUAAUUUGGCUGAUACAAUACAAUUAGUAAAUGGCAGAGACAAGAUUUAAUUAAAAUUCUGUCACACUGAAGCCUACUUGCUCUAAAGUGUGGGUGGAGAAAAUUGAGCCAGGUAAUUUAGGCAUAUCCUUCCCCUCAUACAGCUCCCUAGGCCACAGGACCGAGUUAUCAGACGUCAUAGUGAGUACUUUGCUAUUGGAAUUUCGAUAUUCGUGUUUGAAGAACUUUGGAGUCCUGUCCCCAUCUGUCUGUAGGUGUCUAGAAGGAAGCCCAUAGGUGAGAGGUGUAAGCUGGAGACAAGGAUGAUUAUCAUUGGGAGUCAAGGGGAACUCUAGACCAAUGAGAUUGUAUGCUCUUGUAAGGUAGGGACAGAGCCCUAAAGUUCUCUCUGUACCUCCAGACGGUUCAGCACACUGCUGGACACUCUACACUCAACAGAAAGGUGUAUUUCAGAAAGGCUGUUGCUCCCCUGCAGACACAGGGAGAGGUUGAUUGUGGGAGAUGAGGUCUGGUCAGAAGCUGGGGUGAGGUGAGGGUUCCUCACUGAAGAAGGCAUCUCCUCGUCCCUGGCAAGACUGAUGGCAUUUCCUAAGCCCCUGCUUCCCUCCUGUGCAGCUCUUUUAGGGCCCUGGAAAAGCACCUACCACGCUUGGCACAGGAUGGGGAAGGGUCGGUCCUGUGGCUUGAAGCUUCCAGAAUUUAGAGAUAGUACUUCUCUCAUCAGCCACCGUUCUCCACUCCCAGGAAUUUGCAUAAAGCCUCACCUAAGUUACUUCCUCCGCUGACACUCCUGCCCUCCGGGGAAGGACCCAAGGCAUUUGUUUUGUUGGCUAAUUCCCUUUGGUAAUUAUAUUGUUUCCGGAAUUUAUUUCAUCAUACGGGAAAGGGAGAAUUCCGAGGCGGCCCGUCUCCCUGUUGCCCACAUGCCGGGAGCGCCUCAGUCCUCGCCCCUGUCUUCCUGGCGCCGUCCCCAGGCUGGGACCCUGGCUGGAAGAGUAGGAACCGGGGCUAGAGCAGCUGAAGCGGCCUAGGACCACGGCCAGGGCUCCCAGGGCGAUGAGAGGGCCAACACCAACUACCAGGGAGAGGGCCGUCCUAUGGGGCGGUGCUGGAGAAGCCCGAGAGGGAAAGGAGGCAGGGAUGAGCUCAAGGCCCCCGGAGAAUGGAGCCUUUGUGUGGGAGCUCCCGGGGCCCCAGGGGACCGGCACCAGACCUGGUCCCGGAAAGCCGGCCACCCCAGAGGCUGCAAAGGGAUGGAGAAGCAGAAAGGAAGAUGUGCAGUCGGGGA